GGGAAUAUUGCGCAAUGGCCGAAAGGCUGACGCAGCGACGCCGCGUGUGGGAUGACGCCCUUCGGGGUGUAAACCACUGUCAGAAGGGAAGAAACUCGUGCUUUCGAAUAGGGAGUGCGAUUGACGGUACCUUCAGAGGAAGCACCGGCUAACUCCGUGACAGCAGCCGCGGUAAUACGGAGGGUGCGAGCGUUGUCCGGAUUUAUUGGGUUUAAAGGGUGCGUAGGCGGCCUGUUAAGUCAGUGGUGAAAGGUAUCAGCUCAACUGAUGACGUGCCAUUGAAACUGGCGGGCUUGAGUACAGACGAGGUAGGCGGAAUUUAUGGUGUAGCGGUGAAAUGCAUAGAUACCAUAAAGAACACCGAUAGCGAAGGCAGCUUACUAGGCUGAGACUGACGCUGAGGCACGAGAGCGUGGGGAGCGAA
RNAcentral lists this ribosomal RNA (424 nucleotides) under uncultured bacterium. RNAcentral's name for it is "bacterial SSU rRNA". It matches the Rfam family "Bacterial small subunit ribosomal RNA", at positions 357 to 772 of the family's 1533-position model. The record is from RNAcentral.